CCUACGGGUCGCAGCAGUGGGGAAUAUUGCACAACGGGCGCAAGCCUGAUGCAGCCAUGCCGCGUGUAUGAAGAAGGCCUUCGGAUUGUAAAGUACUUUCAGCGGGGAGGAAGGUGUUGUGGUUAAUAACCACAGCAAUUGACGUUACCCGCAGAAGAAGCACCGGCUAACUCCGUGCCAGCAGCCGCGGUAAUACGGAGGGUGCAAGCGUUAAUCGGAAUUAUUGGGCGUAAAGCGCACGCAGGCGGUCUGUCAAGUCGGAUGUGAAAUCCCCGGGCUCAACCUGGGAACUGCAUUCGAAACUGGCAGGCUAGAGUCUUGUAGAGGGGGGCAGAAUUCCAGGUGUAGCGGUGAAAUGCGUAGAGAUCUGGGGGAAUACCGGUGGCGAAGGCGGCCCCCUGGACAAAGACUGACGCUCAGGUGCGAAAGCGUGGGGAGCAAACAGGAUUAGAUACCCCAGUAGUC
RNAcentral lists this ribosomal RNA (465 nucleotides) under uncultured bacterium. Its description in RNAcentral is "bacterial SSU rRNA". It matches the Rfam family "Bacterial small subunit ribosomal RNA", at positions 338 to 795 of the family's 1533-position model. The record is from RNAcentral.